Molecule: unclassified non-coding RNA, 250 nt
Filed under: plant metagenome
Description: partial contains small subunit ribosomal RNA, internal transcribed spacer 1, and 5.8S ribosomal RNA
Source: RNAcentral
GUAGGUGAACCUGCGGAAGGAUCAUUAGCAAGUUUUGGAAGGGGUUUGUUGUGGGGGAGUGGGGGGUUGUGGAUGGGUGGGUGUUGGGGGAUUGAUUGCAUCAUGGCAGCAAAUGCAAUAUGCAGUCAGUUCCUAGGAUCCGUCCAUACAUGGCUCCUGAGUCUGCACUACCUAACCAUCCACAUUCACGCUUGUUGUGUUUGACUGAAUUUAUAUAGCAAUUAUUAAAAGACAACUUUUAACAAUGGAU